AAUGGUGGCACCUGCAUCCUUCAGAAAAACAGGCAGGAAUAUCGCUGUCAAUGUAAGAAAGGAUAUGAUGGGAACAACUGCCAAAAUGAUGUGGACGAGUGUACUGCUGGUACAGACAACUGUCAUAAUGAUGCUACUUGCACAAACACUGGUGGUUCGUUCACUUGUCAGUGUAAACCUGGUUACCAAGGCAAUGGAGUGACGUGUACAGAUGUGGACGAGUGUACUGUUGGUACACACAACUGCCAUUCUGAUGCUACUUGCACAAACAAUGGUGGUUCGUUCACUUGUCAGUGUAAACCUGGUUACCAAGGAAACGGAGUGACGUGUACAGGUUUGUUAAUAUCAUAAAGUCUAUAAA
Molecule: long non-coding RNA, 361 nt
Organism: Actinia tenebrosa (Australian red waratah sea anemone)
Lineage: Eukaryota; Metazoa; Cnidaria; Anthozoa; Actiniaria; Actiniidae
Source: RefSeq, a predicted model, not a curated record